UGAGCUUUCUAUAAAAUGGCUAAUAGCCAAAGAAUAUUUUUUAUCACUACACUCGUGAAACAAGUUUAAUUCUCGCAUAUUUAAUCCCCGUUAAUAUAAAAGUUUGUCUAUUCCGCUUCAUAUUUGAUUAAUAUUUGCCCUGUUUUGAAUAACUCAAUACAUUUGAAAGUGUUUCUUUAAAGGUUCGGUUGAGGAACGAUGAUUCGAGAGGAAUCUUGGCAAGGCCACGAACAUCGCGACGAAGUUUAGAUGGACUUUAGCGUUGAUUGCAUGGAUCACAGGAAUUCAACAUUUUUCUGCAUGCGUCAUAUACUACUAUGCCGGUGGUUAUUUAUGUCUGUCGUGGGCGUCGUGACUGAACGAAUGCGCCACUACCACAAUGUCCAUGUUUUUGGUAUAGACAGUAAAACCCCUGAAAAGGAAGUCAGAAGAAAAAGCAUGAAAGAGGAAUUGUUGCAGGAACUCACUGCAACUGUAAUCAUAAAUCAUCAAUCUAUCUCGAAUCUAUCUGUAUAGUGUUAUGUUCCUGAGAGCCAGUUUUGUUCGUGAGGGCCAAUUAUACUCUUGAUGGCGCCUAUAAUCCAGUUGAGCCUGUACUGACGUUAGACUCAUCCGUAAUCCGAAAGGAAAAACAGCCAGGUGAAGAAGCUAUACUGCCGUUAUACGCAUAACUGUCCCAUGUAUAUAGGGAAUCUCAGCAAACAUGGGACAAGUAUGCGUAUAACCGCAGUAUAGGAAGUCAUAUAAGGCUCAUAUGCAGGUUUUAUUUUUUUUUUCGUUGUCAAAAGUGUGUUUAAAUAAAAAAAUAUUACUACUUUAAUAUCAUAAUGAGAGCACAGUUUUGAAUAAGUUGUAAGUCCAAGAAAAAUACUGUUACCUGCCUUAUUUGAGAUAGCAAGGAAUGAUGUUGAGCAAAAGAUUUUUAAUUGAACUUUCAAACUUACUCAAAGUGCGUGCUU
Armigeres subalbatus is the source of this 959-nucleotide long non-coding RNA. RefSeq lists it as uncharacterized. NCBI's taxonomy places the organism in Eukaryota, Metazoa, Arthropoda, Insecta, Diptera, Culicidae. The record is from RefSeq and is a predicted model, not a curated record. The transcript has 4 exons.